This 301-nucleotide ribosomal RNA is filed under the name uncultured bacterium. Its description in RNAcentral is "partial 16S ribosomal RNA". It matches the Rfam family "Bacterial small subunit ribosomal RNA", at positions 509 to 807 of the family's 1533-position model. The record is from RNAcentral.
CAGCAGCCGCGGGAAUACGGAGGGUGCAAGCGUUAAUCGGAAUUACUGGGCGUAAAGCGCACGCAGGCGGUUUGUUAAGUCAGAUGUGAAAUCCCCGAGCUUAACUUGGGAACUGCAUUUGAAACUGGCAAGCUAGAGUCUUGUAGAGGGGGGUAGAAUUCCAGGUGUAGCGGUGAAAUGCGUAGAGAUCUGGAGGAAUACCGGUGGCGAAGGCGGCCCCCUGGACAAAGACUGACGCUCAGGUGCGAAAGCGUGGGGAGCAAACAGGAUUAGAUACCCGCGUAGUCCCUGUCUCUUAUAC